This is a long non-coding RNA of Phalaenopsis equestris, 1280 nucleotides long. RefSeq lists it as uncharacterized. The record is from RefSeq and is a predicted model, not a curated record. The transcript has 3 exons. Lineage: Eukaryota; Viridiplantae; Streptophyta; Magnoliopsida; Asparagales; Orchidaceae.
UUUUUCAUUUCACUAUCGAUUUCUUCCACAUUGUGGUUAGAACAAAAAUUUGAAAAAAUUGAAGUGAAUAGUGAGAAAUCCAUGUUUGUGUUGAUAUCAUUUUUUAUGAGGUCAUUUCCUCUUCUUAGAGCCUAGGGUCAAACCUUAGGACUUCCUGUUGGACUCUCUUAGAGGACUAAUACUAUGACCCGCACCAGCUAGAAGUUUGACCCACUUCUUGACUCCUUGCAAUUUUAUAUGGGUGGUUUCAAAUCCUCUAUGCUUGGUUGAGUCGAUUAAAACCAACAUAUUAAAACUCAAGUCGAGUACCCAUAGGAUCUAAAGCCUCAGGAAACCCAUUGCGCCUUUCAGGCACAUUUACGAUACACACACACUCGCGAGAGACGAAUAACACAAUUCACACGUUCGAUGCAUAAAUAUAUCAAAAUUCACAUCAUCGACAUAUAUAAAAGGGGCUUCGUAAUUGAUCAAACUUAAAUCAGUCGUCGAAACUAUCGAUCAUGAACUAAAAUUUUAAGAAAAAUUGAAUUUGACGUAUUUUCAACCGGAUCAUCGACGAAAUUGUCCCGACAAUCCCAGAUGACGAAACAGACCACGCCGGUGCGUUCGAAAUGUUGAUUUUAGCUAGAUAGAACACUCAUUUUGAUAUAGCUUCAUGUGCGAGCGAAAAAUGCAUAAUGCUGGAGAUUUUAGGUAUUAAAUAUUCUUUUAUCUAUAUAUAUAUAUUAAAAAAAGCUUUCCUAAAUCCCUAAUCUCUUGUUCACACACCACCCGUGCCUCUCUGCUCAUCUCCCAAUCGCAAGCCAAGCCCUUGCCCCAGCUCUUCUCCCUCUGUUCGGUCGAAGCUGUCUCCUCCUCUUCGUGAUGGCUAGACCCGAGUGGAGCCCUACUCCUCGUAGCUUCCCCUUCACGACUCGCCCAACACCCUGCCCUCUGCCCAAAAUGCCUCUUCCUGAAGAUCUGUUUGGCGCACCGGUCUGCUUGCUGUGGGGCAUCGCCCCGCAAUAAUUUCUCAUUUGGAGCGGUUUCUCCAUCGCCGCAGGCGGCGAUUCAGCAGUAACGCGGAACGCGCUCAGUAAUUUCAGCCUCAAGCAACUGCUCUUCCAGCACCACUUACUGUUUGGAUGGUUAAUGCAUCAAAUGCUACUCCAAUGCCACAUCCAGCAAUGUCGGCCAGUCCCUUUGUCCUAGCUGCACCACCCAAUUCAGCUUUGGUUUUUCGAGCACACAACACUGUUUACUCCUACUGCACCUAAGGCUAGACCACACAUGCUGAGGUG